This is a non-coding RNA of Camelina sativa (false flax), 1569 nucleotides long. The record is from RefSeq and is a predicted model, not a curated record. Lineage: Eukaryota; Viridiplantae; Streptophyta; Magnoliopsida; Brassicales; Brassicaceae.
UCUAUGACGCGCCACCAGUCUCCUGGAGAAAUCAAAAUCAGUUUAGAGAGAGAGAGAGAGAGAGAGGGAGUGCGAGAGAGAGAUCGUUCGAUUCUAACGGCGGCGAGGCAGAGAGAGAGAGACCGGUCGAUCCUAACGGCGGCGAGAGAGAGAGAGAGAGAGACCGGUCGAUCCUAACGGCGGCGAGAGAGAGAGAGACCGUUCGAUCCUAAUGGCGGCGAGAGAGAGCAAGCGGACCUGAAGAACAAGUCAGAGGAGGUCUUGACUCUUGCGUGUUCGUGGACGAGGACUGAGACGAUGAUUUGAUUCGACUCAGAACAAACACGCUCGCCGGCAUGCGUGUUCGGUGACUCAAACUGAUCAAUUACAAAACAAAAGGUUUAGGGUUAAUAACGUAGCUAGCACUACCAGUCUCUUUCAUAAAAUCAUCAAAGCCAUCCCAAUCUUUAAGUUUUCAUAAAGUGGAUGUGUUUGAAAAGCUUGAAGCUACGUGUAAGGCUGAAGGAAAGGAAGAGAAAGAAAAAGAAGAUAAUGAAGAAGUUGAUGAAUCAGAGGGAGAAGAAUCUGACUACAAAGAUUAUUAUUAGAAUCAAGACUUCAAUGAUGGUGACAGACAAUUAUAAUCAGGCAGAUGAUGGAGGCAUAAUAUGGGGAUAUUAAAUAGUGGGUUUCUUUCUUUCUUUGGGCUGAAACAGGUGUGUGUUCGUGUUUUCCAACCAAGACGAUGAUUUGAAGGAUGAAGAAGGUUCAUAGCAAAGCAAUGAGAUGAUGCUCUUUUCGGAGCUGUUGGAUGGUUCGUGCGGCUCUUGAAGUGUUUGUCAAUUGUAAGACCGAUAACAGUGUUACCACAAGUGACGAGAGAGUAAACAGGCCUGAACAAGUCAGAGGUUGAUCACAUUGCUUGUGUUGUUUUUGAUUUUGGGAAGUAAAGGUGCGGUAAACUUUGUUCAGUUGACAAGGCUACUACUAUCUUGGAGGUAAAUUCUUGAUAACUGCCGGAUGUUCUCCCAAUUGCCUAAAAUGUGCCUCAGCUAGCUGGAUCUUUGGAAGGUCCUUGUGUUCGUGUUCCAGCCAGGACGGACGAUGCUUUCUCGACUCAGGACACAAAAACGGUCGCUGGCGUGUUCUUACGGUAACACAACAUCAAACUGAUCGAUUAAAAGCAAAGGCGAAAAGAGAGCAAAAACAAGUCAGGGAGUCAGGGGUAUCUUUCUAAACUUGAGAGCAACAUCUUUCCAACCAGGACGAUGACCACAAAACGGUCGCCGGCGUGUUCUUACAAUUCUAACAUCAUCAAACCGAUCGAACUGAAAGUGAAGCUUAUAUGCAGAUCGGAGAUAUGCUAUGGUCUGAAGAAUGAAGAAAGAUUCUGAACCAAACAAAAACAAAACCUUCGCCUUGCGGAUCCAAGCAUUCUUGAUGAAUAAUAUCUGGUGGAAGUUUAUGUUUUCGUGUCUUUGAAAGUGAUGGAUGUUCAGAGGACAUGGCGUAUUUCUUCAACUCUCAUCUGAUUUGAAGAUUCUGUGAAACAUCUCUCCACAUAAAACAACUCAUCACCGGAGGAGAGAA